This 1291-nucleotide long non-coding RNA is filed under the name Lynx pardinus (Iberian lynx). Lineage: Eukaryota; Metazoa; Chordata; Mammalia; Carnivora; Felidae. The record is from RNAcentral.
UCCUGCCAGAAUCCCAGAAACCCUGCCCGUUGGCUCUCUCCAGUCACUCAACACAACGCGUGGUAAUUUUGUGAGUCGAAGGCAAGCAUUUCCCGGGCUAAAAACCCCCGAGUCUCCUCUGGGUGAGUAUUCAGGUCAGUUCCAGACUAUUCCCUCUCUCCUCCCGGCGUUACUCUCAGCUUCUGGAAGGUUCCACGCCCUGCAUGCUGAGAGGCAGCUGCUGUCCCCCUCUGGCCACCGCGGAAGGCUGUCACCGCCCUCCUGUGCCCUGGGCACCGUUUCUGCUCACCCCGUGGGCCUCCCCAGGAUGGCUUCCGUCUGUUCACGUCAGCGUCCCCGUGCGGAGGCUGCGAGCCGGCCUGGGAAACCUUCCCUGUCCUCCCUCCCCAGACCCAGGAGGGCGUGCCUUGCUCUCCUUGAUCUCCCCCUGCAAGAGCCAGCAAGACUUUCCUCUGGGGUUCUGAGAGAACAGAGGCUGGUCCCAGGCCUGUCUGCUCCUGAGCCCCAGCCCAGCCCCUUGCGGGCUCUCAGCGGGACCAGUUCCCACGGUGGUUUCCUUAAUCUUUGUACUGCUGGCCAUAUUUGGGAUCUGCCUGGGCCAGUGUGGGCAUAUGGGCGGAACAUUCCCUAGCGUGAAUGUACUGGGACCCCAUCAUGUAGGGCCUUCCUGACACGAGUACAUGUUUGUCUGCCCAGCAUCCCUGGCUCCUGCUGGAGACACUGUCUUCACCGUUCUGCAGUAAUCCUCAUUGACCCCCCGAUGUCCUCACCCUGCUCGAGAAUGAGCAUCUGUCCAUGGACCUAUAUAAGGUGACAACUGCCUUUCUUGCCAUGUGAAGUGAACGCCUCGAGACCACAGGUAAUGUGGAGGAACACCAAGCCCAGGGAUGGAGAGGAGCUCGGACCACAUCUCUACAGCUGCUGGAUCCAGCCAUGCCUGAAGACUUAUCAGUCGUAUGAGAUAACACACUCCUUUUUUUAAAGUAAAUGAGUUCAGUUUCUGCAACUGGAAAAGGCUGAAUAUAGUGCUGCUUCGAAAGAUGUAUAUAAUACCCCUUCGCUGUUUAGAUAUUUAGGCUCCGUUUGAAAACUGAGAUAUACGCAGACGUGAAGAAAAUAUGAAAGAUGGCGUAAAUUUAGUGGAUAGAUACUUGAAACUAGUUAUUUUGGUCUGUUCUCCAGAUUAAAGUUUUCCAUUACUUAACUUUUUUAUCUCCUUAUUUCUCUUUAUUCACUUUUAAGGGAAUCGUUAUAUUUACCCUCAACAUCUCUAAGAAAAUACGGGUCAAAG